RNAcentral lists this transfer RNA (73 nucleotides) under Candidatus Parcubacteria bacterium. Its description in RNAcentral is "tRNA-Thr". It matches the Rfam family "tRNA". From Rfam's summary of the family: Transfer RNA (tRNA) molecules are approximately 80 nucleotides in length. Their secondary structure includes four short double-helical elements and three loops (D, anti-codon, and T loops). The record is from RNAcentral. Lineage: Bacteria; Candidatus Parcubacteria.
GCCAGGGUAGCUCAGCUGGCAGAGCAACUGUUUUGUAAACAGUAGGCCGUGGGUUCAAAUCCCACCCCUGGCU